AAUGGGACGAGGACACAGAGACACGAGAGAGUCAUGCUUCCUGUUCUCCCUGGAGAGAGGGAGGUUGAAGAGGAUGACAGGAGGACAUCCCUGUGGGCGGUUGGCAUUCCAGUUAUCCUAAUCAUUUCCUUUUUAGUCAUCUGCGGCAGUGUCAUGCUUCAAAAGAAAAAAGGUUGCAGGCAAGCAGCGUUGGUAACCACCUCUGACGAGAAGGACCCUUUUUAGGAGCUGUGUGUAAACAUCUGUUAUUGCUGACUGUGCUUAUAUGCACUGUAGCUGACAGCUGUUUUUGUUGAGGACUGGAGCACCUGUUGUUACUGAGCCUGGAUGUUGAACCUUGUUGAAUCAUUGUUUCGCAGUCAUAAAUAAGCUAAUUAACACAUGCAUUAUACAAGCCAUGAUAUGGUUAAUGCUGUUUAGAGGUACUGAAAUGGCACUUUAGGUUUGAGAGAUUAAUUACCUCUUGUAGGUGAAUGUUGUGAUAAGAGGUAGGUUACCUGUUGCCUGGCAACCCAA
This is a long non-coding RNA of Coregonus clupeaformis (lake whitefish), 516 nucleotides long. RefSeq lists it as uncharacterized. The transcript has 3 exons. The record is from RefSeq and is a predicted model, not a curated record. Lineage: Eukaryota; Metazoa; Chordata; Actinopteri; Salmoniformes; Salmonidae.